Molecule: long non-coding RNA, 1765 nt
Filed under: Pongo abelii (Sumatran orangutan)
Lineage: Eukaryota; Metazoa; Chordata; Mammalia; Primates; Hominidae
Description: lincRNA
Source: RNAcentral
GGGAUAGUAGCAGUGAGGAUGAGCAGAGGUCACUCUCGUCACCUUCUUGGUUUUGGGGAUAAGACACACACACACACACACAGAGACAGAGAGAGAGAGAGAGAGUGCAAGGCAAGAGGAGUAAGAAGGUCAUUAUGCAAUCUUUCUCGGACUCAGCUCUCUAAUUCUUAAGAUCAGCAGUCUCAAAGUACCAUCUGUGUACUACUGGGAGCUCCUGAGACACUUUCAAGAGCCACAGCAAAAGAGAUGAAAUUCUGCCUGAACUAUUAUCCUCCAUUUACAGUUAAGUAAACUGAGGCCCUGGGAAAUGAGGCACUUUAGUUUUAAAAGCUGCUAAAGUCUACUGCUACAUCAUGCAGCUAGCCUGGGCUCUGCCUUGCUUGUGUCAGUCAGCUCUGAAGAACUCUCUGUCGUGUAAUUUAGACUGUAUGCCAUUAGGUGGGAUUAGUUCAGGGAAAUUCACAGGAAUAACAAAAGACAGAAAACAUGAGCAUGGGCCCCACCCCAGGACUGAAAAUGUGUGGAAACAUCAAGGGAAUAAAAGUGUGUUAAUUUCGAUUCUGGACUCCACAUUUUGCUAGGGACAUUACCAACCAUCCAGAAGACAGAGAUGGGAAAUAUAAAGGGGCUGAAAAAAGCCAUGUUACAUGAAGAACCAUGAAAGAAACUGGAAAUAAUUUCCUUAGAGGAGAGAAGAUUCCUAGGAAAUAAGACAAUGAACAAUGAAUGCUGGAGAACGUCCUUUCCUGCCUCUUAAUCAUUCUGAAUCUAAACUAAUGAUAAACUUCAAUCAGUGACAUUGAGGGGAUGGGUAAGGGAUAAUAUAAAGAGUCCUCUGUGCGUGCUAAUUUGUUUUUACAUGUGACCUAAGAUGGUGGCUUCUUGCUUUAAAGACCUUACUAAUCAUUACAGAGUAUUCGUAUUCUCUGCUCAAUAAUUUGGAAAUGACUUAGGUGCUGUAACUCUCUGUGUCUCUAAUUUCUGAUCUGUGUAUUCAUCCAUGCUGUCUUUAGUACAAGUAUUUAUUUAUGUAGACUUCCCUUGUUCUGUUCUUUAUGUUACGUGGAGGAAAUUCUGAGAAACUUCAUCAGUAGCACUAUGAAACUCCUUCCAUACGGAACAGUCUAGAACAGGCAUUGUCAAACUGGGCUAAAUCUGUUCUGCCAUCUGCUUUUCUAAAGAAAAUGUUGUUGGAACACAACCACGUUCAUUCAUUUCUGUAUUGUCUGUGGCAGAGAUUGACCAUCAUGAUAGAGACCAUAUGAGUUGAAAAGCCUAAAACAUUUAUUACCUGGCUCUGAACAGAAAAUACUUGCUGACUUCUGGUCUGGAACAGCACUGUGUAUAUACCUCAGGUUUAAUACUGAAAGUCUCCAUUAGUCGUUCUUCAGAGGUGACUAGAGUGCACAGUCAUAAUGGCAGGGCCCCAAGGACUUCUCUAACUCACACUUCCUGUCCCGUCACCUUCACUGCAGCAACCAUCUUACCGAGGGGUGCUGUCACUGCUCCUGUCCACUUUCUGGCUGUCGGAUGCCUCGAGAGUUCUUCCUGCCCUUGAUAAGGAAUAAACUUGCCAGUAGCAUGUGGCAGUUUUUCAACUGAUUUGGGAGAUGAUGCAGAUUUUGCUAUUUCUUAACUUUUAAUUGUUGUGUUUUCUGGUUCUCAGUAGGGAGACAUGAAGAAAAUUGCUAAUUCCCUUCAGUUAAAUAACAGUUUAGAUUAAACAAGCAAGAACUUUUGCUCUUUAAUAAAAUGCAAAGUUACC